Sus scrofa (pig) is the source of this 1369-nucleotide non-coding RNA. Lineage: Eukaryota; Metazoa; Chordata; Mammalia; Artiodactyla; Suidae. The record is from RefSeq and is a predicted model, not a curated record.
GAGUUAAAAAAAAAAAAAAAAAAAAAAAAGAGAGAGAGAGAGAGAGGUUUUCCAGAAACCUUUCUCGGUUGGUGUUCUUUCUGCGGGGGAAUCAGCUGGUGGGACCCAGACAGAUGCUCAGGAGAGCGAAGUGGGGACCAGUGAGAUUAUGCUCGUGCUCUGCCAAGAGAGGGAUUAUUUAUGGAAUUAAUAAAUGCGACUCUAUUUUUUUUUUUUUUGUAGGAUGUUGCAAUCUGCUGUGAGAACUUCCUUCGAAUUUUCUGAGCGGUGUUGACAGUGCUGACCUUGGGGUCAGAAGGUGGCUUCAAAUCCAGAGACAACAUUGCAAUGAGAUACAACGAACAAGCAAGCAAACAAGCAACAAUGGGGCUAUUUCCUUCCUUUUCUCUCUUUUUGGAGAGAGACACAUUCCCAGAGGUCUCUUGGAAGACUCCAUUGGUUGUAUUGGGCGGAAUCAAGCCACUGAUAAGAGGAGUGGGAUUGCCACACUUGUCUCCAAGAAAUCAGGAUACCCUGUGUCCUGGAGCUGAGAAAGUAUCUGGCCAGGUGGAGGAGGGUGAAUAUACCUGAAGAAAAUUAGGGGGUAUGAGAAAGGAAGAAGGGAAGUGGAGGUGGAUGUUGGCAAGGCAACCAACACUGCUACAUGACUGCAUCCAUCUGUCUCUCUCAUGUCUAAGCCUCACGGAAAAUCUGCAAGAGAGGUAUUAAUAGUCAUGUUUUAAGAUGGGGCUCAAUUCAGUAUCAUCACAGAGGUUUGCAACAGCAGAAUUCUUUUUUUUUUUUCGUUUCUUUUUCGGGCCACACCUGAGCCACAUCGGAACUUCCAGUGUGCUUUUUAAAUUCUAAUUUUUAUUGCAUUUUGUUCAGAGAACAUACUCCGUAAGAUGUAGUUUUUCUGAGACUUGUUUUGUGGCUCACGCCACUGUCAAUUUUUGUAAAUGUUUCAUGGGUGCUUGAAAAGAACAUAAUUUCUCUGCUGCCUUCAGGGUUCUGUAAAUGAUUAUUUAAUGUUACUGAGAAAUGUAAAUGAAAAUCUUCUACUAAAAUUGUGAAUUUCUAAGUUCUUUUCAGUAAAUCCAUUUUGUUUGUUUUUGUUUGUUUUGAGGCUAUGUUGCUAGGUGCGUACAGGUUCAAAAUUAUAUUUUCCUGAUGAAUUGUUCCUUUCAAUAAUAGGCAAUAAGCCUCUGAUUCUCUAAUUCUCUCUCCCUCUUAAAGUCAGUUUUACUUAUGGUUAUAUGUUUAUAUGAGGCUUUAUGUUGACUUUAUAAUUUUUCAGAUAUUUCCUCCCCCUCAAUUUUUUUAAUUUUUCUGUGUCAUUACGUUUUAGAUGAGUCUUUUAUUAAUACAGCUAACUAAAAUUUCAAAAUAC